GACGAACCGUGCGAACGUUGUUCGGAUUCACUGGGCUUAAAGGGCGCGUAGGCGGGCGGUCAAGUCGGGGGUGAAAUCUUUCAGCUUAACUGGAAAAGUGCCUCCGAUACUGAUCGCCUCGAGGGAGGUAGGGGCAUGUGGAACUUCCGGUGGAGCGGUGAAAUGCGUAGAUAUCGGAAGGAACGCCGGUGGCGAAAGCGACGUGCUGGACCUCUUCUGACGCUGAGGCGCGAAAGCUAGGGGAGCAAACAGG
This 253-nucleotide ribosomal RNA is filed under the name uncultured bacterium. RNAcentral's name for it is "partial 16S ribosomal RNA". It matches the Rfam family "Bacterial small subunit ribosomal RNA", at positions 524 to 776 of the family's 1533-position model. The record is from RNAcentral.